AGCGAACGCUGGCGGUAGGCCUAACACAUGCAAGUCGAACGGCAGCACAGUAAGAGCUUGCUCUUACGGGUGGCGAGUGGCGGACGGGUGAGGAAUACAUCGGAAUCUACUCUUUCGUGGGGGAUAACGUAGGGAAACUUACGCUAAUACCGCAUACGACCUACGGGUGAAAGCAGGGGAUCUUCGGACCUUGUGCGAUUGAAUGAGCCGAUGUCGGAUUAGCUAGUUGGCGGGGUAAAGGCCCACCAAGGCGACGAUCCGUAGCUGGUCUGAGAGGAUGAUCAGCCACACUGGAACUGAGACACGGUCCAGACUCCUGCGGGAGGCAGCAGUGGGGAAUAUUGGACAAUGGGCGCAAGCCUGAUCCAGCCAUACCGCGUGGGUGAAGAAGGCCUUCGGGUUGUAAAGCCCUUUUGUUGGGAAAGAAAAGCAGCAGGUUAAUACCCCGCUGUUCUGACGGUACCCAAAGAAUAAGCACCGGCUAACUUCGUG
This 492-nucleotide ribosomal RNA is filed under the name uncultured bacterium. RNAcentral describes it as "partial 16S ribosomal RNA". It matches the Rfam family "Bacterial small subunit ribosomal RNA", at positions 29 to 507 of the family's 1533-position model. The record is from RNAcentral.